UACGAAGGGGGCUAGCGUUGCUCGGAAUCACUGGGCGUAAAGGGUGCGUAGGCGGGUCUUUAAGUCAGGGUGAAAUCCUGGAGCUCAACUCCAGAACUGCCUUUGAUACUGAGGAUCUUGAGUUCGGGAGAGGUGAGUGGAACUGCGAGUGUAGAGGUGAAAUUCGUAGAUAUUCGCAAGAACACCAGUGGCGAAGGCGGCUCACUGGCCCGAUACUGACGCUGAGGCACGGAAAGCGUGGGAGCAACAGG
Molecule: ribosomal RNA, 251 nt
Filed under: uncultured bacterium
Lineage: Bacteria
Description: partial 16S ribosomal RNA
Rfam family: Bacterial small subunit ribosomal RNA
Source: RNAcentral